Long non-coding RNA from Hippocampus comes (tiger tail seahorse), 334 nucleotides. RefSeq lists it as uncharacterized. The transcript has 2 exons. NCBI's taxonomy places the organism in Eukaryota, Metazoa, Chordata, Actinopteri, Syngnathiformes, Syngnathidae. The record is from RefSeq and is a predicted model, not a curated record.
UCAAACGCGCAUGGGAUGUCAAUCGCAAAACCAAUAACUCAAUGGAGAGAGGCAUAAAAAGAGAAAUUGAAUAGCAAGUUAGCCCUGACACAUACAAACAAACUUCAAAUGAUUUAUACCCUGGAGAGACUGAGCUAACUUAAAUGUUUUGAUCUUUUAGUCGACAUAAAAAAGUGGAAAAAGCCUGUAGGCCGUUGCAUUAAGAACAUGAUUUAAUCCAGGCAUAUGGAAUGUUCUAAAUGUACAGUUGAUUAGAAUGCUCUGUAUUAUGGUCACAGAAAAAUUGUGAGAGAUGUGAAUUAUUUUCAAAAGGAAUGAACCACUGAGACAAGCA